GAUGAACGCUGGCGGCGUGCCUAAUACAUGCAAGUCGAGCGAACAGACGAUGAUCUUGCUCCUCUGACGUUAGCGGCGGACGGGUGAAUAACACGUGUAUAACCUACCUAUAAGACUGGGAUAACUUCGGGAAACCGGAUCUAAUACCGGAUAAUAUAUUGAACCGCAUUGUUCAAUAGUGAAAGACGGUUUUGCUGUCACUUAUAGAUGGAUCCGCGCCGCAUUAGCUAGUUGGUAAGGUAACGGCUUACCGAGGCAACGAUGCGUAGCCGACCUGAUAGGGUGAUCGGCCACACUGGAACGGAGACACGGUCCAGACUCCUACGGGAGGCAGCAGUAGGGAAUCUUCCGCAAUGGGCGAAAGCAUGACGGAGCAAGGCCGAGUGAGUUAUGAAGGUCUUCGGAUCGUAAAACUCUGUUAUUAGGGAAGAACAAAUGUGUAAGUAACUAUGCACGUCUUGACGGUACCUAAUCAGAAAGCCACGGCUAACUACGUG
This 497-nucleotide ribosomal RNA is filed under the name uncultured bacterium. RNAcentral describes it as "partial 16S ribosomal RNA". It matches the Rfam family "Bacterial small subunit ribosomal RNA", at positions 28 to 507 of the family's 1533-position model. The record is from RNAcentral.